This is a small nuclear RNA of Cynocephalus volans (Philippine flying lemur), 107 nucleotides long. The record is from RefSeq and is a predicted model, not a curated record. Lineage: Eukaryota; Metazoa; Chordata; Mammalia; Dermoptera; Cynocephalidae.
GUACUUACGUCAGCAGCACAUAUACUAAAAUUAGAAAGCUACAGAGAAAAUUAUCAUGGCCCCUAUGCAAGGAUGACAAGCAAAUUUGUGAAAUGUUUUAUAUUUUU